This 433-nucleotide ribosomal RNA is filed under the name uncultured bacterium. RNAcentral describes it as "partial 16S ribosomal RNA". It matches the Rfam family "Bacterial small subunit ribosomal RNA", at positions 29 to 507 of the family's 1533-position model. The record is from RNAcentral.
AACGAACGCUGGCGGCAUGCCUAACACAUGCAAGUCGAAUGAGACCUUCGGGUCUAGUGGCGCACGGGUGCGUAACGCGUGGGAACCUGCCCUUAGGUUCGGAAUAACUCCCCGAAAGGGGUGCUAAUACCGGAUAAUGUCUUCGGACCAAAGAUUUAUCGCCUUUGGAUGGGCCCGGGUUGGAUUAGCUAGUUGGUAGGGUAAAAGCCUACCAAGGCGACGAUCCAUAGCUGGUCUGAGAGGAUGAUCAGCCACACUGGGACUGAGACACGGCCCAGACUCCUACGGGAGGCAGCAGUGGGGAAUAUUGGACAAUGGGCGAAAGCCUGAUACAGCAAUGCCGCGUGAGUGAUGAAGGCCUUAGGGUUGUAAAGCUCUUUUACCCGGGAUGAUAAUGACAGUACCGGGAGAAUAAGCUCCGGCUAACUCCGUG